Molecule: unclassified non-coding RNA, 313 nt
Filed under: uncultured fungus
Lineage: Eukaryota; Fungi
Also listed under: 1 other name
Description: partial contains 5.8S ribosomal RNA, internal transcribed spacer 2, and large subunit ribosomal RNA
Source: RNAcentral
AACGCACCUUGCGCCCCUUGGUUAUUCCUUGGAGCAUGCCUGUUUGAGUAUCAUGAACACCUCAACUCUCAUGGUCUUCCAUGAUGAGCUUGGACUUUGGGGGUUUGCUGGCCCUGCGGCCGGCUCCUCUCAAAUGAAUCAGCUUGCCAGUGUUUGGUGGCAUCACGGGUGUGAUAACUAUCUACGCUCGCGGUCGUCUGCCAGGUAACCCUCAGCGAUGAGGGUUCAUUGGAGCUCAUAAACGUCUCUCCUCGGCGAGGACAACUUUUGAACGUUCGAUCUCAAAUCAGGUAGGAUUACCCGCUGAACUUAA